Arachis ipaensis is the source of this 980-nucleotide non-coding RNA. The record is from RefSeq and is a predicted model, not a curated record. NCBI's taxonomy places the organism in Eukaryota, Viridiplantae, Streptophyta, Magnoliopsida, Fabales, Fabaceae.
ACUCUAUUUCUAUUUCUCUUGACAUGACUAAAGAAAAAUAAUCUAAGUCCUCUUAAUAUUGCUAAUGUGUCAGCAAUGAAUGUUCCAAAAUAAGAUUCUAUUGACUUUUCUUGUUUAAGAGCUUUCACUACUUCAUAGCUAUCACUUUCUAUGAUUACUUCAUUGAAACAACAAUGUUUAGCAAAUUCUGCUCCCAAAUAGGCUGCAUAUGCCUCAGCCUCAUGGGUCUCUAAGUGAAAAGGUAUGACCCAACUAGCUGCCCCCAAGAUUAAACCCAUCUCAUCCCUUGCAAUUACACCCACACCUCCAUGCACAUCUCUUGAUAUGGAUGCAUCAACAUUAAUUUUAACAAUUCUGGUUGGUGGCACCUCUCAAGUCUCUCUUAAUUGAGUCAAUAAAGAGUCAACUACCCUUAAUUUCUUAUUUCUUGAGUUUACCUUCAGAAAAUCUUCAAAGUCCUUCAUCACACACUCAAUCUCCUCUUCAAUUGUUGCAUUUGUUCCUUCGAAUACCUGCACGUUGCGGGAUCGCCAAAGUUGGUUGAACAGCACACAAAACAUGGCUUUCCUUUUCUCAUCUAACUUUUCUAAUAAAUUAAACAUCCAAUUUUUCAGCCCUUGAUUUUUUGUAGGUUCAUUUCUUAGUGUUAGAGGCGACGCAAACCAGAAUUUUCUUGCAUACCAAUAGUCCCUCACCACAUGGGCUUCUGAUUCGUCUUCUUCUCCGCAUCUUGGACAACUGGAAGCAACAUUAAUUCCUCUUCGCUUCAAGUUCAGCUUCGUUGGGAGGGAGUUAUAGAUCAAUUGCCAUAUGAAAUUGAGCACCCUUGGUGGAGCUUGAAUUUUUCAAAUAUUCUUCCAAGUGUUGUACAUGGGUUCUAAGAUAUGCCUCCUUCCACUCCAAUGUUGCUAGGGCUCUGUCGAGUCUUUCUUGGAUGUUGUUGUCCCCUCCCUGUCUAUUUGUCCAAGUACAUGGGUGAC